Molecule: small nuclear RNA, 306 nt
Filed under: Myotis brandtii (Brandt's bat)
Lineage: Eukaryota; Metazoa; Chordata; Mammalia; Chiroptera; Vespertilionidae
Description: 7SK RNA
Rfam family: 7SK RNA
About the family: 7SK was discovered as an abundant small nuclear RNA in the mid-70s but a possible function has only recently been suggested. Two independent studies have found that 7SK RNA binds the CDK9/cyclin T complex (known as elongation factor P-TEFb). P-TEFb activates transcription by phosphorylating the C-terminal domain of RNA polymerase II.
Source: Rfam by way of RNAcentral
GGAUGUGAGGGCGAUCUGGCUGCGACAUCUGUCACCCCAUUGAUCGCCAGGGUUGAUUCGGCUGAUCUGGCUGGCUAGGCGGGUGUCCCCCUCCUCCCUCACCGAUCCAUGUGCGUCCCUCCGGAAGCUGCGCGCUUGGUCGAAGAGGACGACCUCCCCCCACCCCAGGAGAGGACCGGUCUUCGGUCAAGGGUAUACGAGUAGCUGCGCUCCCCUGCUAGAACCUCCAAACAAGCUCUCAAGAAUAUAGGUAUAAUCAAAACAAAAGUUACUAGCUUUUAGGUCAGUUAUUAAUUGAAACCCAGU